GGAUAGAGGCCUACCAUGGUUUUAACGGGUAACGGGGAAUUAGGGUUCGAUUCCGGAGAGGGAGCCUGAGAAACGGCUACCACAUUCAAGGAAGGCAGCAGGCGCGCAAAUUACCCAAUCCCGACACGGGGAGGUAGUGACAAUAAAUAACAAUACGGGGCUCAUUUGGGUCUCGUAAUUGGAAUGAGUACAAUUUAAAUCUCUUAACGAGGAACAAUUGGAGGGCAAGUCUGGUGCCAGCAGCCGCGGUAAUUCCAGCUCCAAUAGCGUAUAUUAAAGUUGUUGCAGUUAAAAAGCUCGUAGUUGAACUUCGGGGUUUACCCAUUGGUCAGGCUUAAUUGUCUGUACUGGUGAGAUAAAUCUCUACCUUCUGAGGAACUUUCAUGUCAUUAAUUUGGUGUGAUUGGAAAUCAGGACUGUUACUUUGAAAAAAUUAGAGUGUUUAAAGCAGGCUAACGUCUGAAUACAUUAGCAUGGAAUAAUGAAAUAGGACGGAUUGAUUCUAUUUCGUUGGUUUCUAGGAUCACCGUAAUGAUUAAUAGGGAUAGUUGGGGGCAUUAGUAUUCAAUUGUCAGAGGUGAAAUUCUUGGAUUUAUUGAAGACUAACUACUGCGAAAGCAUUUGCCAAGGAUGUUUUCAUUAAUCAAGAACGAAAGUUAGGGGAUCGAAGACGAUCAGAUACCGUCGUAGUCUUAACCAUAAACUAUGCCGACUAGGGAUCGGACGAA
RNAcentral lists this ribosomal RNA (728 nucleotides) under uncultured fungus. Its description in RNAcentral is "SSU rRNA". It matches the Rfam family "Eukaryotic small subunit ribosomal RNA", at positions 331 to 1061 of the family's 1831-position model. Lineage: Eukaryota; Fungi. The record is from RNAcentral.